CCUACGGGAGGCAGCAGUGAGGAAUAUUGGUCAAUGGGCGCGAGCCUGAACCAGCCAAGCCGCGUGAAGGAUGACUGCCCUACGGGUUGUAAACUUCUUUUAUAAAGGAAUAAAGUGAGGCACGUGUGCCUUUUUGUAUGUACUUUAUGAAUAAGGAUCGGCUAACUCCGUGCCAGCAGCCGCGGUAAUACGGAGGAUCGGAGCGUUAUCCGGAUUUAUUGGGUUUAAAGGGAGCGUAGAUGGGUUGUUAAGUCAGUUGUGAAAGUUUGCGACUCAACCGUAAAAUUGCAGUUGAUACUGGCAGACUUGAGUACGGGUGAGGUAGGCGGAAUGCGUGGUGUAGCGGUGAAAUGCUUAGAUAUCACGAAGAACACCGAUUGCGAAGGCAGCUUACUAGACUGCAACUGACACUGAUGCACGAAAGUGUGGGUAUCGAACAGGAUUAGAUACCCGAGUAGUC
Molecule: ribosomal RNA, 460 nt
Filed under: uncultured bacterium
Lineage: Bacteria
Description: partial 16S ribosomal RNA
Rfam family: Bacterial small subunit ribosomal RNA
Source: RNAcentral